Molecule: transfer RNA, 56 nt
Filed under: Bothrops jararaca (jararaca)
Lineage: Eukaryota; Metazoa; Chordata; Lepidosauria; Squamata; Viperidae
Description: tRNA-Ser
Source: RNAcentral
GAGAGGGAUCAAAGACCUGCUAACUCUUUAAUCUGACAAAUAUGCCAGCCCUCUUU